RNAcentral lists this ribosomal RNA (465 nucleotides) under Vreelandella stevensii. RNAcentral's name for it is "partial 16S ribosomal RNA". It matches the Rfam family "Bacterial small subunit ribosomal RNA", at positions 338 to 795 of the family's 1533-position model. The record is from RNAcentral. Lineage: Bacteria; Pseudomonadati; Pseudomonadota; Gammaproteobacteria; Oceanospirillales; Halomonadaceae.
CCUACGGGCGGCAGCAGUGGGGAAUAUUGGACAAUGGGGGGAACCCUGAUCCAGCCAUGCCGCGUGUGUGAAGAAGGCCCUCGGGUUGUAAAGCACUUUCAGUGAGGAAGAACGCCUGGUAGUUAAUACCCAUCAGGAAAGACAUCACUCACAGAAGAAGCACCGGCUAACUCCGUGCCAGCAGCCGCGGUAAUACGGAGGGUGCGAGCGUUAAUCGGAAUUACUGGGCGUAAAGCGCGCGUAGGUGGCUUGAUAAGCCGGUUGUGAAAGCCCCGGGCUCAACCUGGGAACGGCAUCCGGAACUGUCAAGCUAGAGUGCAGGAGAGGAAGGUAGAAUUCCCGGUGUAGCGGUGAAAUGCGUAGAGAUCGGGAGGAAUACCAGUGGCGAAGGCGGCCUUCUGGACUGACACUGACACUGAGGUGCGAAAGCGUGGGUAGCAAACAGGAUUAGAUACCCCUGUAGUC